GACGAACGCUGGCGGCGUGCCUAAUACAUGCGAGUCGAACGAACCGCGACUAGGUGCUUGCACUUGGUCAAGGUGAGUGGCGAACGGGUGAGUAACACGUGGGUAACCUACCUCAUAGUGGGGGAUAACAGUCGGAAACGACUGCUAAUACCGCAUAGGACAUAGGAUCACAUGAUCCAGUGAGGAAAGGUGGCGCAAGCUAUCGCUAAGAGAUGGACCCGCGGUGCAUUAGCUAGUUGGUAGGGUAAAGGCCUACCAAGGCGAUGAUGCAUAGCCGACCUGAGAGGGUGAUCGGCCACAUUGGGACUGAGACACGGCCCAAACUCCUACGGGAGGCAGCAGUAGGGAAUCUUCCGCAAUGGACGCAAGUCUGACGGAGCAACGCCGCGUGAGUGAAGAAGGUCUUCGGAUCGUAAAGCUCUGUUGUUAGAGAAGAACAGCGCAUAGAGUAACUGUUAUGCGUGUGACGGUAUCUAACCAGAAAGCCACGGCUAACUACGUG
This 502-nucleotide ribosomal RNA is filed under the name uncultured bacterium. RNAcentral describes it as "partial 16S ribosomal RNA". It matches the Rfam family "Bacterial small subunit ribosomal RNA", at positions 28 to 507 of the family's 1533-position model. The record is from RNAcentral.